This 253-nucleotide ribosomal RNA is filed under the name uncultured bacterium. Its description in RNAcentral is "partial 16S ribosomal RNA". It matches the Rfam family "Bacterial small subunit ribosomal RNA", at positions 524 to 776 of the family's 1533-position model. The record is from RNAcentral.
UACAGAGGGUGCGAGCGUUGUUCGGAAUUACUGGGCGUAAAGCGCGUGUAGGCGGUUCGGUAAGUCAGGUGUGAAAGCCCUGGGCUCAACCUGGGAAUUGCAUUGGAUACUGGCAGGCUAGAGUGCGGUAGAGGAUGGCGGAAUUCCCGGUGUAGCAGUGAAAUGCGUAGAGAUCGGGAGGAACAUCUGUGGCGAAGGCGGCCAUCUGGACCAGCACUGACACUGAGGCACGAAAGCGUGGGGAGCAAACAGG